GGGCUUGUAGCUCAGGGGUUAGAGCGCACGCCUGAUAAGCGUGAGGUCGAUGGUUCGAUUCCACCCAGGCCCACCA
Molecule: transfer RNA, 76 nt
Filed under: Candidatus Sneabacter namystus
Lineage: Bacteria; Pseudomonadati; Pseudomonadota; Alphaproteobacteria; Rickettsiales; Rickettsiaceae
Description: tRNA-Ile
Rfam family: tRNA
About the family: Transfer RNA (tRNA) molecules are approximately 80 nucleotides in length.
Source: RNAcentral